RNAcentral lists this ribosomal RNA (1801 nucleotides) under Tetracapsuloides bryosalmonae. RNAcentral describes it as "SSU rRNA". It matches the Rfam family "Eukaryotic small subunit ribosomal RNA". Lineage: Eukaryota; Metazoa; Cnidaria; Myxozoa; Malacovalvulida; Saccosporidae. The record is from RNAcentral.
UGCGAUAUGCUCGUCUUAAAGAUUAAGCCAUGCAUGCCUAAGUACAUACUUCGGUAGAGUGAAACUGCGGAUAGCUCAUUAAAUCGCCUCUAUUUUGUUUGAUAGUCCUCCACUGGAUAUCCGUGGAAAAUCUAGAGCCAAUACUUGCACUGAUAUCUAACAAGCAUAUGCUUCUUGUUAGAUGCAUUUAUUGGAUAUCCGAUCGCUCACAUUGCGAGCGUUAGGUGAUUCUAAAUGACUUUGCUGAUCGUAUGGCCUUGUGCCGACGACAGAUCAAACAAGAUCGCGCCCUAUCAAUUUGUUGUUAGGAUAUUUUCCUAACAAGGUUGUAACGGGUGACGGGGAAUCAGGGUUUGAUUCCGGAGAGGGAGCAUGAGAUAUAGCUACCACAUCUAAGGAAGGCAGCAGGCGCGCAAAUUACCCACUCCCGACACGGGGAGGUAGUGACGAGAAAUAUCGGCUCCUAUUCAAUUGAGUAGGAGACCGAAAUGGACGAAAUUCAGGUCCAUUCGUGAGUAACAAGCAGAGGGCAAGUCUGGUGCCAGCAGCCGCGGUAAUUCCAGCUCUGCACGCAUAUGCGAGAUUUGUUGCAUUUAAAAAGCUCGUAGUCGGACGGUUCCACAAUUUUGUCGAUUGGACACUGCAUGUGCUGCAUAAUUUUGUCUACCUAACUAAGGAGGCAACAAAAUUUUUGUUAGUUCACUACAGUGCUCUUAAUAUUGACUAGUUGUGGACAAACGCAAGCUCCUGAUCUGCCCUUAAUUGGGUGUAUCAGCUGUAAGUUUGCGGACGUACCUUGAACAAAUCGGCUUGUUCAAAGUAGGCCUAGUGCCUGGACAUUCUAGCAUGGAAUGUUCGAUCGAGACCUGAUCGUUUGGUCGGAAACGAGUAAGGUCCAGGUCAAAAGAGACAUUUGGGGGCAUAAGAACUCGGCCGCGAGAGGUGAAAUUCUAAGACCGGCCGAGGUCUAACAAAAGCGAAAGCAUUUGCCAAGAAUGUUUUCAUUGAUCAAGAACGAAAGUUGGAGGAGCGAAAACGAUCAGAUACCGUUGUAGUUCCAACUUUAAACUAUGCCGGCUGUCGGGGCCAGUUCGGUACAUCCGUACUAAUUGACCUCCCAGGGAAACCUUAGCAGGGUUCUGGGGGGAGUACGGUCGCAAGUCUGAAACUUAAAGGAAUUGACGGAAGGGCACCACCAGGAGUGGAGCCUGCGGCUUAAUUUGACUCAACGCGGGGAAACUUACCCGGUCCGGACAUCGGAAGGAUUGACAGACUGAUCGCUCUUUCAUGAUACGGUGAAAGGUGGUGCAUGGCCGUUCAUAGUUGGUGGAGCGAUUUGUCUGGUUAAUUCCGUUAACGAACGAGACUUCUUCCUUCAUUUAGUAGAUUUAAUUGGGGUUUAGAUCAACUAAUUGAAGGGACUAACGCUAUUUAAAAGCGUAGGAAGUAAUCCGAUAACAGGUCUGUUAUGCCCUUAGAUGUCCGGGGCCGCACGCGGGCUACACUGGUGGUAGCAAAGAGUACUUAGGGAGACAUCCUCGAGUAAACUCACGAACUACCAUCGUGACAGGGACUGAACCUUGUAAUUAUGGUUCACGAACGAGGAAUUUCUAGUAAGCGCUGGUCACCAUCCAGCGCUGAUUAUGUCUCUGCCCUUUGUACACACCGCCCGUCGCUACUACCGAUUGAAUGACUUAGCGAGAACUUGGUGGUAGCUUUUAAAUUCCCAAAAGAGUUUAUUAGCUACAAACUUGUUUGAGCUUGGUCGUUUAGAGGAAGUAAAAGUCGUAACAAGGUUUCC